AUGCAUACAUAUGAGAUUAGCUAGUAAAAAAGUAUCACAUAAUUUAUCAAAUAUUAAACAUGAUUAUAUCUGCCAUACCUCUCUGCUGCAUGUCAAGUUUUUUCCCCACUCAAGACAUUUGUGGCAGUGUUCUCUCUUUGUACAGUUU
Long non-coding RNA from Thalassophryne amazonica, 148 nucleotides. RefSeq lists it as uncharacterized. The record is from RefSeq and is a predicted model, not a curated record. Lineage: Eukaryota; Metazoa; Chordata; Actinopteri; Batrachoidiformes; Batrachoididae. The transcript has 3 exons.